Molecule: ribosomal RNA, 139 nt
Filed under: uncultured bacterium
Lineage: Bacteria
Description: partial 16S ribosomal RNA
Rfam family: Bacterial small subunit ribosomal RNA
Source: RNAcentral
GACUCAGGCGACGCCGCGUGAGGGAUGAAGGUCUUCGGAUUGUAAACCCCUUUCGGGAGGGAAGAUGGAGUGGGUAACCACUUGGACGGUACCUCCUAAAUCAGCCACGGCUAACUUCGUGCUAGCAGCCGCGGUAAUA